Molecule: ribosomal RNA, 446 nt
Filed under: uncultured bacterium
Lineage: Bacteria
Description: bacterial SSU rRNA
Rfam family: Bacterial small subunit ribosomal RNA
Source: RNAcentral
AGUGAACGCUGGCGGUGCGCCUAAGACAUGCAAGUCGAGUGGGUUUAGACCCACGGCGAACGGCUGCGUAACACAUGGGUACCUACCCCCGAACUCAGGAAUAACCUCCCGAAAGGGAGGCUAAUGCCGGAUAGUCCCGCAAGGGUAAAGCUUUUGCGGUUCGGGAGGGGCCUGUGGCCUAUCAGUUAGUUGGUGAGGUAACGGCUCACCAAGACAAUGACGGGUAGCUGGUCUGAGAGGACGACCAGCCAGAAUGGAACUGAGACACGGUCCAUACUCCUACGGGAGGCAGCAGUAAGGAAUAUUGGUCAAUGGACGCAAGUCUGAACCAGCCAUGCCGCGUGAGUGAUGAAGGCCUUAGGUUGUAAAGCUCUUUUACCCGGGAUGAUAAUGACAGUACCGGGAGAAUAAGCCCCGGCUAACUCCGUGCCAGCAGCCGCGGUAAU